Molecule: ribosomal RNA, 460 nt
Filed under: uncultured bacterium
Lineage: Bacteria
Description: partial 16S ribosomal RNA
Rfam family: Bacterial small subunit ribosomal RNA
Source: RNAcentral
CCUACGGGAGGCAGCAGUGAGGAAUAUUGGUCAAUGGGCGGGAGCCUGAACCAGCCAAGUCGCGUGAGGGAAGACGGUCCUAUGGAUUGUAAACCUCUUUAGGCGGGGAGCAAUGCCGGGCACGUGUGCCCGGAGGGAGAGUACCCGCAGAAUAAGCAUCGGCUAACUCCGUGCCAGCAGCCGCGGUAAUACGGAGGAUGCGAGCGUUAUCCGGAUUUAUUGGGUUUAAGGGGUGCGUAGGCGGAUUUUUAAGUCAGCGGUAAAAUGUCCGGGCUCAACCCGGGCCGGCCGUUGAAACUGGGGAGCUUGAGUGGGCGAGAAGUAUGCGGAAUGCGUGGUGGAGCGGUGAAAUGCAUAGAUAUCACGCAGAACUCCGAUUGCGAAGGCAGCAUACCGGCGCCCGACUGACGCUGAGGCACGAAAGCGUGGGGAUCGAACAGGAUUAGAUACCCGAGUAGUC